RNAcentral lists this long non-coding RNA (771 nucleotides) under Homo sapiens (human). Its description in RNAcentral is "HSALNT0358168". The record is from RNAcentral. Lineage: Eukaryota; Metazoa; Chordata; Mammalia; Primates; Hominidae.
CCUAGGGACCUGGCAAGGAAAGACUAGGCCAGACCUUAGCACCCCCUGUCAGGGACUUCCUGCUGGUUAAUCCUGCUUCCUCUGCCAGCAGGAAGUCAGCUAGCAAAGAAGCCCCAAUGAUAUAGUCUACAGCAGGCAGCCUGCCAGGGUGCAGAGCAGGGUAGAAAAUGGAUCGGAAGGGCAAAGGUGAGGUAGAGUUGGGAGACUUACCUGAGGUCACAUAGUCAGCUUCACCUGAUUGUCAGGAAAGUAACCCUGUGAACCCUAGCUGGGGAGAAGAACCUAAAGGCAAGAGAGAGAACCGUUCUAUAGGACCCGGGAGGAUUUGCCAUCAUCUGAAGGAAGACUGAAUCUUGUCUGCUCUGGGGAGGCACGGAGGAGCCUGUGACUUGUGAGUUCCAGUAAUCAUUGUACAUCUCUGCUUCUGCCUUUGCCAAUGAGCCUGAUUUUAGGCAGAGAAAGAAGAUUCUGCCUAACAAAGUAGAGACAGGUAUCCUGGAGUUCAUGAAAGACGUGUAGCUGAUUCAGCGCUGCCCUUGAAGUAAACCUGACCAUCUCAUUUCCAACUUCUUUUUGGAUGAAGUCUAACUCAAGAUCUCAUGCAAUUGACUCCCAAGGGGCCCCUACCUCAUCUUCCAGAAAUGACUAAGUUGUAGCAUAUAUUGUAUCUAAAUCCAAGUUAUAACGCCGGCUACAUACAGAGCCAUGUGAAGAAGGACAUGCUUGCUUCUUCUUCCACCAUCAUUGCAAGUUUCCUGAGGCCUCCCCAGC